CCUUCCUUUUCCCGGGCUUAAUCAUGCACCACUCCCGGGUCACUGCCGGUUUCCCAGUCUAACCCCCUCCAUUAACUGAUCCCUCUCCUUGAAUUUCCAUAUUCAUGGAUCUGAUCAUCUGAUCACUUCAAUCUCUUUCAAAUACUUCAACCCAUAUCCUUUUGCCUGGUCCAAUGGCCCUAAAGCUGCAACUUUACCUCCUCAAGGCUGCAAAUUUUUGGGUUUCCGACACUAAUUCUAUGGUUAAACGAUAACCCUUGUUAGCCAAAUGAAGGCUUAGUUGAUUCUUGCUCAGUUCUUCAAGAAUCAGCAGAUGAUAGAUAGAGAUUAUUUAUUUAUUUCUUGGAAUUUGGAGUUGGUGGUGUCUAGCUGAGGGACUAUGACUUCCGGGCG
RNAcentral lists this unclassified non-coding RNA (393 nucleotides) under Hevea brasiliensis (rubber tree). Lineage: Eukaryota; Viridiplantae; Streptophyta; Magnoliopsida; Malpighiales; Euphorbiaceae. The record is from RNAcentral.